RNAcentral lists this ribosomal RNA (1503 nucleotides) under uncultured Pseudomonadota bacterium. RNAcentral describes it as "bacterial SSU rRNA". It matches the Rfam family "Bacterial small subunit ribosomal RNA". Lineage: Bacteria; Pseudomonadati; Pseudomonadota. The record is from RNAcentral.
AGAGUUUGAUCAUGGCUCAGAUUGAACGCUGGCGGCAGGCCUAACACAUGCAAGUCGAGCGGUAACAGAGAUUAGCUUGCUAAUCUGCUGACGAGCGGCGGACGGGUGAGUAAUGCAUAGGAAGUUGCCCAGUAGAGGGGGAUACCAGUUGGAAACGACUGUUAAUACCGCAUAAUCUCUUUGGAGCAAAGCAGGGGACCUUCGGGCCUUGCGCUACUGGAUGCGCCUAUGUGGGAUUAGCUAGUUGGUGAGGUAAUGGCUCACCAAGGCGACGAUCCCUAGCUGGUCUGAGAGGAUGAUCAGCCACACUGGGACUGAGACACGGCCCAGACUCCUACGGGAGGCAGCAGUGGGGAAUAUUGCACAAUGGGCGAAAGCCUGAUGCAGCCAUGCCGCGCGUAUGAAGAAGGCCUUCGGGUUGUAAAGUACUUUCAGUUGUGAGGAAGGUUGUGUAGUUAAUAGCUGCAUAAUUUGACGUUAGCAACAGAAGAAGCACCGGCUAACUCCGUGCCAGCAGCCGCGGUAAUACGGAGGGUGCGAGCGUUAAUCGGAAUUACUGGGCGUAAAGCGCAUGCAGGUGGUUUGUUAAGUCAGAUGUGAAAGCCCGGGGCUCAACCUCGGAAGGUCAUUUGAAACUGGCAAACUAGAGUACUGUAGAGGGGGGUAGAAUUUCAGGUGUAGCGGUGAAAUGCGUAGAGAUCUGAAGGAAUACCAGUGGCGAAGGCGGCCCCCUGGACAGAUACUGACACUCAGAUGCGAAAGCGUGGGGAGCAAACAGGAUUAGAUACCCUGGUAGUCCACGCCGUAAACGAUGUCUACUUGGAGGUUGUGGCCUUGAGCCGUGGCUUUCGGAGCUAACGCGUUAAGUAGACCGCCUGGGGAGUACGGUCGCAAGAUUAAAACUCAAAUGAAUUGACGGGGGCCCGCACAAGCGGUGGAGCAUGUGGUUUAAUUCGAUGCAACGCGAAGAACCUUACCUACUCUUGACAUCUAGAGAAUCCAGCGGAGACGCAGGAGUGCCUUCGGGAACUCUAAGACAGGUGCUGCAUGGCUGUCGUCAGCUCGUGUUGUGAAAUGUUGGGUUAAGUCCCGCAACGAGCGCAACCCUUAUCCUUGUUUGCCAGCGAGUAAUGUCGGGAACUCCAGGGAGACUGCCGGUGAUAAACCGGAGGAAGGUGGGGACGACGUCAAGUCAUCAUGGCCCUUACGAGUAGGGCUACACACGUGCUACAAUGGCGCAUACAGAGGGCAGCAAGCUAGCGAUAGUGAGCGAAUCCCAAAAAGUGCGUCGUAGUCCGGAUUGGAGUCUGCAACUCGACUCCAUGAAGUCGGAAUCGCUAGUAAUCGUAGAUCAGAAUGCUACGGUGAAUACGUUCCCGGGCCUUGUACACACCGCCCGUCACACCAUGGGAGUGGGCUGCAAAAGAAGUAGGUAGUUUAACCUUCGGGAGGACGCUUACCACUUUGUGGUUCAUGACUGGGGUGAAGUCGUAACAAGGUAAC